UACGGGGGGGGCAAGCGUUGUUCGGAAUUACUGGGCGUAAAGGGUUCGUAGGUGGCCUGCUAAGUCAGACGUGAAAUCCCUCAGCUUAACUGGGGAACUGCGUCUGAGACUGGUGGGCUUGAGUGCAGGAGAGGAACGCGGAAUUCCAGGUGUAGCGGUGAAAUGCGUAGAUAUCUGGAGGAACACCGGUGGCGAAGGCGGCGUUCUGGACUGUUACUGACACUGAUGAAUGAAAGCCAGGGGAGCAAACGGG
This 253-nucleotide ribosomal RNA is filed under the name uncultured bacterium. RNAcentral describes it as "partial 16S ribosomal RNA". It matches the Rfam family "Bacterial small subunit ribosomal RNA", at positions 524 to 776 of the family's 1533-position model. The record is from RNAcentral.